UUUAUACUUCAGUAAAUACAAAGUAAUUUCCCCAGAGGAAGAGAGUGUUAACAUGGGGGAAAAGGGUGGGGAGGGAGAGAGAAAUCAAUAAUGGUGUCACAAGGGGAUGAUGCCUGAGCUGUGCUUUGAAACAUGUUAGGGAUUCUAUGAGGUGCAUGGUAACCCACAUACACAAAGGCAGAAAAAGAACAUCAUAUACAAGAAAAAUAGCUAAAAGGAUGAUACCUAAAUGUUAAAGGGCAUCUUGCCGAAUCUCCCACAGCCAAUGAAAAUUACACCUCAAUAAUGGUUGCACUCCUCCUGACUUUUCUACUCACCAUGCCCUCAGAAACUUCUUCAUCCUGGAACAUCACCUAACCCUGGAAUGUCCACCUUGGAAGUACCUUCUACUCCUCCCUCUGCUUGGGUGGAUCCUCCUAGAACCUCCAGUUAAGGGCGCCCAGACCAGAUAUUUCUUCAUUUCCUACUAGAUUGCAAUACAGAUUUCUCUGUCAUGCCUUGGAGCCAGUUUCCUUUCUCACCUAUCCCUUUCCCACUUUUUUGCAUGGUCUUCUAAGUUGUUCUUCUCUACCCCCCCCACCACAUUGGAAUAUAAACUCCUUGAGAGUCA
Molecule: non-coding RNA, 610 nt
Organism: Phascolarctos cinereus (koala)
Lineage: Eukaryota; Metazoa; Chordata; Mammalia; Diprotodontia; Phascolarctidae
Source: RefSeq, a predicted model, not a curated record